AUGAUGGCCAGAGCUGCACUUCUUCCUGUUGCGCUGCUGCUGUGCCUUGCACUGGCUGGCGGCGCCAAUGCUGCACGGAAGUCGACGGCCGGAUUCUAUGAACUCAAGAACAAGAAGGGGGAUUUCUCCAUCAAGGUCACCAAUUGGGGCGCUGCCCUCGUGUCUGCCAUCGUCCCUGAUGGCAAAGGGAACUUGGCUGAUGUUGUCCUUGGGUACGACACUGUCGCUGAAUAUGCUAAUGGCUCUGCUUCAUUCGGAGCGACGGUUGGGCGCGUAGCCAACAGAAUCGCAAACGCCCGCUUUGUUCUUGACGGCAAAACCUAUCACCUUCUCCGUAACGACGGCAACAACACGAUUCACGGAGGCCCCAAGGGGUUCGGCAAGGUCAUUUGGACGGUGAAGGAGCAUGUGAGCCAUGGUGACUCCCCAUACAUCACCUUCUACUACCACAGCUUGGACGGAGAGCAAGGAUUCCCAGGCGCCCUCGACGUGUACGUGAAGUACCAGCUGUCCCGCCCGUACGACCUGAGUAUCCGCAUGAACGUGACUGCGAGGAACAAGGCGACGCCAGUGAACCUCGCGAACCACGCGUACUGGAACCUGGCCGGUCACGGCAGCGGCGACGUCCUCAAGCACGAGCUCCAGAUGUUCGCCUCACACUACACCCCUGUCGACGGGUCCAUGAUACCGACGGGCGAGGUCGCGCCCGUGGCCGGCACGAUGUACGACUUCGGCAGGCGGAUCCCCGUGGGCACCAAGAUGAAGGUCGUCCCGGGCGGCGGCGCCGGGUACGACAUGAACUACGCCGUGGACGGGCAGCAGAACGCGAUGCGGCCGGUGGCGCGCGUCCUGGAGCCCAAGUCCGGGCGGGCGUUCGAGCUGUGGGCGAACCAGCCCGGCGUGCAGUUCUACACCGCCAGCUGGCUCAUCAACGAGAAGGGGAAGGCCGGGAAGGUGUACGGGCAGUACGGCGCGCUGUGCCUGGAGACGCAGGCGUACCCCGACGCCGUCAACCACCCCAACUUCCCGUCGUCCAUCGUGAGGCCCGGCCAGGUGUACAAGCACGACAUGGUCUUCAGGUUCUCCUACCAGGCCACCUACGACGCGUGA
RNAcentral lists this ribosomal RNA (1110 nucleotides) under Triticum aestivum (bread wheat). Its description in RNAcentral is "partial small subunit ribosomal RNA". Lineage: Eukaryota; Viridiplantae; Streptophyta; Magnoliopsida; Poales; Poaceae. The record is from RNAcentral.